RNAcentral lists this ribosomal RNA (375 nucleotides) under uncultured bacterium. Its description in RNAcentral is "bacterial SSU rRNA". It matches the Rfam family "Bacterial small subunit ribosomal RNA", at positions 523 to 898 of the family's 1533-position model. The record is from RNAcentral.
AUACGUAGGUGGCGAGCGUUGUCCGGAAUUACUGGGCGUAAAGGGUGCGUAGGCGGAUAAUCAAGUCAGAUGUGAAAGUCCAUGGCUUAACUGUGGGAGUGCAUUUGAGACUGAAGAUCUAGAGUGCAGGAGAGGGAAGCGGGAUUCCUAGCGUAGCGGUGAAAUGCGUAGAUAUUAGGAAGAACACCAGUGGCGAAGGCGGCUUUCUGGACUGUAACUGACGCUGAAGCACGAAAGCGUGGGGAGCAAACAGGAGUAGAUACCCUGGUAGUCCACGCCGUAAACGAUGAGUAUUAGGUGUAGGGGACGAUAGUCUUCUGUGCCGGAGCAAACGCAAUAAAUACUCCGCCUGGGGAGUACGGUCACAAGACUAAA